AUACGGAGGAUCCGAGCGUUAUCCGGAUUUAUUGGGUUUAAAGGGUGCGCAGGCGGGAGAUUAAGUCGGCGGUGAAAUUUUUCAGCUCAACUGUAAAAGUGCCUUUGAAACUGGGUUCCUUGAGUGUAGAUGAAGAAGGAGGGACUUGAGGUGUAGCGGGGAAAUGCAUAUAUAUCACGAGGAACUCCGAUUGCGCAGGCAGCUUACUAAACUACUACUGACGCUCAGGCACGAAGGCGUGGGGAUCAAACAGGAUUAGAUUCCCUGGUAGUCCACGCAGUAAACGAUGAUUACUAGCUGUUUGCGAUACAAUGUAAGCGGCUGAGCGAAAGCGUUAAGUAAUCCACCUGGGGAGUACGUUCGCAAGAAUGAAACUCAAAGGAAUUGACGGGG
Molecule: ribosomal RNA, 393 nt
Filed under: uncultured bacterium
Lineage: Bacteria
Description: partial 16S ribosomal RNA
Rfam family: Bacterial small subunit ribosomal RNA
Source: RNAcentral